This 480-nucleotide ribosomal RNA is filed under the name uncultured bacterium. RNAcentral describes it as "bacterial SSU rRNA". It matches the Rfam family "Bacterial small subunit ribosomal RNA", at positions 903 to 1397 of the family's 1533-position model. The record is from RNAcentral.
AAAUGAAUAGACGGGGACCCGCACAAGCGGUGGAGCGUGUUGUUUAAUUCGAUGGUAAACGAAGAACCUUACCAAGGCUUGAAAUCCUGGGAAGCACUGCGAAAGCAGAGUGUGCCUUCGGGAACCCAGUGACAGGUGCUGCAUGGCCGUCGUCAGCUCGUGUCGUGAGAUGUAUGGUUAAGUCCAUUAACGAGCGCAACCCUUAUGUUUAGUUGGAUUUUUCUAAACAGACUGCCCUGGCAACAGGGAGGAAGGGGGGGAUGAUGUCAGGUCAGUAUUGCCCUUACGCCUUGGGCUACAAACACGCUACAAUGGCCGGUACAAAGGGCUGCCAACCCGCAAGGGGGAGCAAAUCCCAUCAAAGCCGGUCCCAGUUCGGAUUGCAGGCUGAAACUCGCCUGCAUGAAGUCGGAAUCGCUAGUAAUGGUAGGUCAGCAUACUACCGUGAAUACGUUCCCGGGUCUUGUACACACCGCCCGU